CCUACGGGAGGCAGCAGUGGGGAAUUUUGGACAAUGGGCGAAAGCCUGAUCCAGCCAUGCCGCGUGCAGGAUGAAGGCCUUCGGGUUGUAAACUGCUUUUGUACGGAACGAAAAGACUCUGGUUAAUACCUGGGGUCCAUGACGGUACCGUAAGAAUAAGCACCGGCUAACUACGUGCCAGCAGCCGCGGUAAUACGUAGGGUGCAAGCGUUAAUCGGAAUUACUGGGCGUAAAGCGUGCGCAGGCGGUUAUAUAAGACAGAUGUGAAAUCCCCGGGCUCAACCUGGGAACCGCAUUUGUGACUGUAUAGCUAGAGUACGGUAGAGGGGGAUGGAAUUCCGCGUGUAGCAGUGAAAUGCGUAGAUAUGCGGAGGAACACCGAUGGCGAAGGCAAUCCCCUGGACCUGUACUGACGCUCAUGCACGAAAGCGUGGGGAGCAAACAGGAUUAGAUACCCUGGUAGUCCACGCCCUAAACGAUGUCAACUGGUUGUUGGGUCUUCACUGACUCAGUAACGAAGCUAACGCGUGAAGUUGACCGCUGGGGAGUACGGCCGCGAAGGUUGAAACUUCAAAUUGAAUUGACGGCUUGAGACGNGCGAGCGACGACGAGGAGAGG
RNAcentral lists this ribosomal RNA (618 nucleotides) under uncultured bacterium. RNAcentral describes it as "bacterial SSU rRNA". It matches the Rfam family "Bacterial small subunit ribosomal RNA", at positions 338 to 945 of the family's 1533-position model. The record is from RNAcentral.